Molecule: ribosomal RNA, 1379 nt
Filed under: uncultured bacterium
Lineage: Bacteria
Description: bacterial SSU rRNA
Rfam family: Bacterial small subunit ribosomal RNA
Source: RNAcentral
GAUGAACGCUGGCGGCGUGCCUAAUACAUGCAAGUCGAGCGAACGGACGAGAAGCUUGCUUCUCUGAUGUUAGCGGCGGACGGGUGAGUAACACGUGGAUAACCUACCUAUAAGACUGGGAUAACUUCGGGAAACCGGAGCUAAUACCGGAUAAUAUUUUGAACCGCAUGGUUCAAAAGUGAAAGACGGUCUUGCUGUCACUUAUAGAUGGAUCCGCGCUGCAUUAGCUAGUUGGUAAGGUAACGGCUUACCAAGGCAACGAUGCAUAGCCGACCUGAGAGGGUGAUCGGCCACACUGGAACUGAGACACGGUCCAGACUCCUACGGGAGGCAGCAGUAGGGAAUCUUCCGCAAUGGGCGAAAGCCUGACGGAGCAACGCCGCGUGAGUGAUGAAGGUCUUCGGAUCGUAAAACUCUUGUUAUUAGGGAAGAAUAUAUGUGUUAGUAACUGUGCAUAUCUUGACGGUACCCAAUCCGAAAGCCACCGGCUAACUAACGGCCUGUCAGCCGCGGGUAAUACCUACGUGGCCAACCGUUAUCCGGAAUUUUUGGGUCUUAAACCGCGCGUAGGCGGUUUUUUAAGUUCUGAUGUGAAAGCCCACGGCUCAACCGUGGAGGGUCAUUGGAAACUGGAAAACUUGAGUGCAGAAGAGGAAAGUGGAAUUCCAUGUGUAGCGGUGAAAUGCGCAGAGAUAUGGAGGAACACCAGUGGCGAAGGCGACUUUCUGGUCUGUAACUGACGCUGAUGUGCGAAAGCGUGGGGAUCAAACAGGAUUAGAUACCCUGGUAGUCCACGCCGUAAACGAUGAGUGCUAAGUGUUAGGGGGUUUCCGCCCCUUAGUGCUGCAGCUAACGCAUUAAGCACUCCGCCUGGGGAGUACGACCGCAAGGUUGAAACUCAAAGGAAUUGACGGGGACCCGCACAAGCGGUGGAGCAUGUGGUUUAAUUCGAAGCAACGCGAAGAACCUUACCAAAUCUUGACAUCCUUUGACAACUCUAGAGAUAGAGCCUUCCCCUUCGGGGGACAAAGUGACAGGUGGUGCAUGGUUGUCGUCAGCUCGUGUCGUGAGAUGUUGGGUUAAGUCCCGCAACGAGCGCAACCCUUAAGCUUAGUUGCCAUCAUUAAGUUGGGCACUCUAAGUUGACUGCCGGUGACAAACCGGAGGAAGGUGGGGAUGACGUCAAAUCAUCAUGCCCCUUAUGAUUUGGGCUACACACGUGCUACAAUGGACAAUACAAAGGGCAGCGAAACCGCGAGGUCAAGCAAAUCCCAUAAAGUUGUUCUCAGUUCGGAUUGUAGUCUGCAACUCGACUACAUGAAGCUGGAAUCGCUAGUAAUCGUAGAUCAGCAUGCUACGGAAAAUACGUUCCCGGGUCU